GCGAGGAUAGCUGAGUUGGGAGAGCGUCAGAUUGAAGAUUUGAAGGUUACGUGUUUGAUCCACGUUUAUCACA
RNAcentral lists this transfer RNA (73 nucleotides) under Gossypium arboreum. It matches the Rfam family "tRNA". Rfam says of the family: Transfer RNA (tRNA) molecules are approximately 80 nucleotides in length. Lineage: Eukaryota; Viridiplantae; Streptophyta; Magnoliopsida; Malvales; Malvaceae. The record is from Rfam by way of RNAcentral.